Molecule: non-coding RNA, 715 nt
Organism: Lates calcarifer (barramundi perch)
Lineage: Eukaryota; Metazoa; Chordata; Actinopteri; Centropomidae
Source: the annotation of a RefSeq genome assembly
AGAUGUCUUCCAUCUCUACUUAUCUGACUGCAGAGAGGAUGACAGAGAACAGUGGACACACAGUUUAACAUGAUGGACUAUAGGACAGGACUGCUGCUUUUAACUCUCUGCUGGGCAGGUGUUGAUGGUCAGACUCUGACAGAAUCUGAACCAGUGGUUAAAAGGCCUGGAGAAUCCCACACACUGACCUGUACAGCCUCUGGAUUCACACUCAGCAGCUACUAUAUGGCCUGGAUCAGACAGGCUCCUGGAAAAGGACUGGAGUGGCUUGCCAGGAUUGAUAGUGGCAGUGGCAGCUACAAAUACUACUCUCAGUCAGUCCAAGGCCGGUUUACCAUCUCCAGAGACAACAGCAGACAGCAGGUGUAUCUGCAGAUGAACAGUCUGAAGACUGAAGAUUCUGCUGUUUAUUAUUGUGCUCGAGAGUCACAGUGACUGAAGUUAGUUGAGCAGCUGUACAAAAUCCUACUGUACUGAUCUUCUGGGCUGACUCUGUUCCAAUAAACUCUGUGUACUCCUGGCCAGCAGCCACAGCCUGUCAUGUUAAACCAGGCCUUGCUGACAGAUGAUUGAUUUGAAGUGCCUCACCACAAAAAAACAAAACAAAACAAACAAACAAACAAUCUAAAGAUAAAAUUCCUGUUGUAGUUCAUAAUGGUACAGUUAAGUGUUGUCAAAUGUAGCACCUUGUCUCUCUUAAAGAAUCAGACUCAGA